This 244-nucleotide ribosomal RNA is filed under the name uncultured Stenotrophomonas sp. Its description in RNAcentral is "partial 16S ribosomal RNA". It matches the Rfam family "Bacterial small subunit ribosomal RNA", at positions 109 to 355 of the family's 1533-position model. The record is from RNAcentral. Lineage: Bacteria; Pseudomonadati; Pseudomonadota; Gammaproteobacteria; Lysobacterales; Lysobacteraceae.
AGGAAUACAUCGGAAUCUACUCUGUCGUGGGGAGUAACGUAGGGAAACUUACGCUAAUACCGCAUACGACCUACGGGUGAAAGCAGGGGAUCUUCGGACCUUGCGCGAUUGAAUGAGCCGAUGUCGGAUUAGCUAGUUGGCGGGGUAAAGGCCCACCAAGGCGACGAUCCGUAGCUGGUCUGAGAGGAUGAUCAGCCACACUGGAACUGAGACACGGUCCAGACUCCUACGGGAGGCAGCAGCC